This 439-nucleotide ribosomal RNA is filed under the name uncultured bacterium. RNAcentral's name for it is "partial 16S ribosomal RNA". It matches the Rfam family "Bacterial small subunit ribosomal RNA", at positions 338 to 795 of the family's 1533-position model. The record is from RNAcentral.
CCUACGGGAGGCAGCAGUGGGGAAUAUUGCACAAUGGGGGAAACCCUGAUGCAGCGACGCCGCGUGAGUGAAGAAGUAAUUCGUUAUGUAAAGCUCUAUCAGCAGGGAAGAAAAUGAUGGUACCUGAGUAAGAAGCCCCGGCUAACUACGUGCCAGCAGCCGCGGUAAUACGUAGGGGGCAAGCGUUAUCCUGAUUUACUGGUUGUAAAGGGUGCGUAGGCGGACUGGAAAGUCAGCGGUAAAAUCGAGAGGCUCAACCUCUUUCCGCCGUUGAAACUGUCGGUCUUGAGUGGGCGAGAAGUAGGCGGAAUGCGUGGGGUAGCGGUGAAAUGCAGAGAUAUCACGCAGAACUCCGAUUGCGAAGGCAGCAUACCGGCGCCCGACUGACGCUGAGGCACGAAAGCGUGGGUAUCGAACAGGAUUAGAUACCCUGGUAGUC